This 482-nucleotide ribosomal RNA is filed under the name uncultured bacterium. RNAcentral's name for it is "partial 16S ribosomal RNA". It matches the Rfam family "Bacterial small subunit ribosomal RNA", at positions 30 to 507 of the family's 1533-position model. The record is from RNAcentral.
AUUGAACGCUGGCGGCAUGCUUUACACAUGCAAGUCGAACGGCAACACGCCGCCAAGUGUUGACGCGUGGCGAACGGGUGAGUAUUGUACCGCAACGUGCCCCCUCGUGGGGGAGAACUACCCGCAAGAGUAGCUCAUAUCCCACACGAUCUAUGGCUGAAAGAGGGGGACAGCAGGGACUCGCUCGCUUGGAGCGGCCGAUGUCCGAUUAGGUAGUUGGUGGGGUAAAGGCUCACCAAGCCAACGAUCUGUAGCUGGUCUGAGAGGACGACCAGCCACACUGGGACUGAGACACGGCCCAGACUCCUACGGGAGGCAGCAGUGGGGAAUUUUGGACAAUGGGCGCAAGCCUGAUCCAGCAAUGCCGCGUGCGGGAAGAAGGCCUUCGGGUUGUAAACUGCUUUUGUACGGAACGAAACGGCUCUGGUUAAUACCCGGGGCUAAUGACGGUACCGUAAGAAUAAGCACCGGCUAACUACGUG